UAUGUGAUCGUCUCUCGCAUAUCAAUAAGCGGAGGAAAAGAAACUAACAAGGAUUCCCUUAGUAACGGCGAGUGAAGCGGGAAGAGCUCAGAUUUGAAAUCUUCAAGGUUUUACCUUGACGAAUUGUAGUUUAAAGAAGUGUUUUCUGUUGAAGUUUUGGUAAAAGUUCUUUGGAAUAGGACGUCAUAGAGGGUGAGAAUCCCGUAUUUGACCAUUAUUUUCAGCUGUGUGAUACACUUUCAAAGAGUCGGAUUGUUUGGGAAUGCAGUCCAAAAUGGGUGGUAAAUUUCAUCUAAAGCUAAAUAUUGGCGAGAGACCGAUAGCGAACAAGUACCGUGAGGGAAAGAUGAAAAGAACUUUGAAAAGAGAGUUAAACAGUACGUGAAAUUGUCAAAAGGGAAGCGUUUGACACCAGUGUUGUUUUCUCGAAAAUCAAUUAAAAAGAGUUUGAUUUUGUUGUGUAUUGACCUUAACAGCUUGCAUUUCAAUUUUCUUGCUUUUUUUAAUGCACUUUUCGUUUAACAAGUCAACAUCAGUUUCUUUUGUUGUAAAAAGGUCAUUGGAAGGUGGCUUUCUUUUCGGAGAAAGUGUUUAUAGCCUUUGACUCCUGCAAUCGGAGAGACUGAGGUCUGCAGCGUAGAUCCUUCGGGGUUAGAUACAUUUGUGCUAAGUUAUAGCUUUUUAUAGACAACUUGUUGACUAUGAUUAGUCUUGUAGCUUACUCGCUUAUGCUAUUUUACCUACGCUUAGGAUGUUGAAGAUGUAGCACAUCAU
This 774-nucleotide ribosomal RNA is filed under the name uncultured Neocallimastigales. Its description in RNAcentral is "partial large subunit ribosomal RNA". It matches the Rfam family "Eukaryotic large subunit ribosomal RNA", at positions 24 to 620 of the family's 3401-position model. Lineage: Eukaryota; Fungi; Neocallimastigomycota; Neocallimastigomycetes; Neocallimastigales. The record is from RNAcentral.